RNAcentral lists this transfer RNA (88 nucleotides) under Bermanella marisrubri. RNAcentral's name for it is "tRNA-Ser". It matches the Rfam family "tRNA". From Rfam's summary of the family: Transfer RNA (tRNA) molecules are approximately 80 nucleotides in length. The record is from RNAcentral. RNAcentral also lists the same sequence under 5 other names. Lineage: Bacteria; Pseudomonadati; Pseudomonadota; Gammaproteobacteria; Oceanospirillales; Oceanospirillaceae.
GGUGAGGUGGCCGAGUGGUCGAAGGCGCACGCCUGGAAAGUGUGUAUACGGCAACGUAUCGAGGGUUCGAAUCCCUCCCUCACCGCCA